Molecule: non-coding RNA, 48 nt
Filed under: Schistosoma mansoni
Lineage: Eukaryota; Metazoa; Platyhelminthes; Trematoda; Strigeidida; Schistosomatidae
Source: RNAcentral
AUCCAUCUGACGAGUCCCAAAUAGGACGAAAUACGCGUGAAACUGGAU